UGUUAAUACAUAUUUUGUUUGUCUCUGCCAUCAGGGACAGCUGGCAUAUUUUUUGGUUCAUCAUUUAAUCACUCAGGUAAAAAGGGCAUGAAAAUACACAAUAAAUAAAUCAGUAAGUUAAUUUAGAUAAAGUUAAUUUAUUCUGUUUACAGGAUCUCGUAAAAUCAGGAACUUA
This is a long non-coding RNA of Salarias fasciatus (jewelled blenny), 175 nucleotides long. RefSeq lists it as uncharacterized. The transcript has 3 exons. NCBI's taxonomy places the organism in Eukaryota, Metazoa, Chordata, Actinopteri, Blenniiformes, Blenniidae. The record is from RefSeq and is a predicted model, not a curated record.